This 649-nucleotide ribosomal RNA is filed under the name Priestia megaterium. RNAcentral's name for it is "bacterial SSU rRNA". It matches the Rfam family "Bacterial small subunit ribosomal RNA", at positions 46 to 677 of the family's 1533-position model. The record is from RNAcentral. Lineage: Bacteria; Bacillati; Bacillota; Bacilli; Caryophanales; Bacillaceae.
GCCUAAUACUGCAAGUCGAGCGAACUGAUUAGAAGCUUGCUUCUAUGACGUUAGCGGCGGACGGGUGAGUAACACGUGGGCAACCUGCCUGUAAGACUGGGAUAACUUCGGGAAACCGAAGCUAAUACCGGAUAGGAUCUUCUCCUUCAUGGGAGAUGAUUGAAAGAUGGUUUCGGCUAUCACUUACAGAUGGGCCCGCGGUGCAUUAGCUAGUUGGUGAGGUAACGGCUCACCAAGGCAACGAUGCAUAGCCGACCUGAGAGGGUGAUCGGCCACACUGGGACUGAGACACGGCCCAGACUCCUACGGGAGGCAGCAGUAGGGAAUCUUCCGCAAUGGACGAAAGUCUGACGGAGCAACGCCGCGUGAGUGAUGAAGGCUUUCGGGUCGUAAAACUCUGUUGUUAGGGAAGAACAAGUACAAGAGUAACUGCUUGUACCUUGACGGUACCUAACCAGAAAGCCACGGCUAACUACGUGCCAGCAGCCGCGGUAAUACGUAGGUGGCAAGCGUUAUCCGGAAUUAUUGGGCGUAAAGCGCGCGCAGGCGGUUUCUUAAGUCUGAUGUGAAAGCCCACGGCUCAACCGUGGAGGGUCAUUGGAAACUGGGGAACUUGAGUGCAGAAGAGAAAAGCGGAAUUCCACGUGUA